This 248-nucleotide ribosomal RNA is filed under the name uncultured Eubacteriales bacterium. RNAcentral's name for it is "uncultured Clostridiales bacterium partial 16S ribosomal RNA". It matches the Rfam family "Bacterial small subunit ribosomal RNA", at positions 524 to 771 of the family's 1533-position model. The record is from RNAcentral. Lineage: Bacteria; Bacillati; Bacillota; Clostridia; Eubacteriales.
UACGUAGGGGGCGAGCGUUGUCCGGAAUGACUGGGCGUAAAGGGAGUGUAGGCGGCGUUUUAAGUUAGAUGUGAAAUGCCACGGCUUAACCGUGGAACUGCAUCUAAAACUGGGAUGCUGGAGUGCAGGAGAGGUGAGUGGAAUUCCUAGUGUAGCGGUGGAAUGCGUAGAUAUUAGGAGGAACACCAGAGGCGAAGGCGACUCACUGGACUGUAACUGACGCUGAGGCUCGAAAGCGUGGGGAGCAA